AUAUACAGCAAGAAACGCCAGCCUGUAACAAUGUUGUUGAAAACAGGCUUGAACAAUGUUUUGCUGCCAACGUUGUUCACACUUGUCAACAAUAUUGAACAAUAUUGUUGAGCCCGAAUCGGGUGUAACAAUAUUGUUCAAUAUUGUUGACAACUGUGAACAAUGUGGGCAGCAAAACGUUGUUCAAGCCUGUUUUUAACAACAUGGCGUUUUUUGCUG
Molecule: non-coding RNA, 219 nt
Organism: Paramuricea clavata
Lineage: Eukaryota; Metazoa; Cnidaria; Anthozoa; Malacalcyonacea; Plexauridae
Source: the annotation of a GenBank genome assembly